This 442-nucleotide ribosomal RNA is filed under the name uncultured bacterium. Its description in RNAcentral is "partial 16S ribosomal RNA". It matches the Rfam family "Bacterial small subunit ribosomal RNA", at positions 338 to 795 of the family's 1533-position model. The record is from RNAcentral.
CCUACGGGAGGCAGCAGUGGGGGAUAUUGCACAAUGGGGGGAACCCUGACCCAGCAACGCCGCGUGAAGGAAGAAGGCUUUCGGGUUGUAAACUUCUUUUGACAGGGAAGAGCAGAAGACGGUACCUGUCGAAUAAGCCACGGCUAACUACGUGCCGGCAGCCGCGGUAAUACGUAGGUGGCAAGCGUUGUCCGGAUUUACUGGGUGUAAAGGGCGUGUAGCCGGGCUGACAAGUCAGAUGUGAAAUCCGGGGGCUCAACCCCCGAACUGCAUUUGAAACUGGCGGCCUCGAGUGGGCGAGAAGUAUGCGGAAUGCGUGGUGUAGCGGUGAAAUGCAUAGAUAUCACGCAGAACUCCGGUUGCGAAGGCAGCAUACCGGCGCCCGACUGACGCUGAGGCACGAAAGCGUGGGUAUCGAACAGGAUUAGAUACCCUAGUAGUC